UUAGAUGUAUAUUGGAAAUUGUACUCCUUGUCAUUGAACCAUGAAUUCAGUCUUGUGAGGUAUAGAAAUUAAAUAUAGUCAUCUCUGUAUGUGGAUAAAAAUGCUUAUUUUAAAUGAGAAUUGCAUAUGAUAUGGUCAUAGGUUGAUUGUAUUUGUGAAAGAGAGUGACUAUUGAACCAGAAUAUUGUCUUCCAUAAAUUUAUGAAACUUGGUUGUACAUGUGCCUAGAUUAUGCUCGGUUGUGGUUCUAGAUAUGGUUGUAAUUAUGUGAAUGGAUUGAAAUCAAGAAUAGGACUGACCAUGUUUUAUUGAUACCCAAUCACAGGGCAUGAGCAUGACACUACUGAUACCCAGUCAUGGGGCAUAAGCAUGACAUCUCAUGGAGCGUAACUGUGACACAUUUGAUACCCAGUCAUGGGGCUUAAGCAUGACACUAUUGAUACCCCGUCACAGGGCUCAAGUAUGACACUAUGGAUACCCCAUCAUCAAAGAGUGUAAGGAUGAUACUUUUGAUACCCAGUCACGGGGUGUAAGUGUGACCAUGGAUUAGUCCAAACCUAGAAAUUUAUUUAUUCUCCUAUUGUAAAAUUUGAUAUUUUUGUUGCUUUGGAUCCAUGUCUCAAAUUGUGAGUUUUGUAUAGUUUACAACUGGAUGAAUUCACAUUGUGUUCAUUUAUUAUGAAUAAUAUAUACAACCAACUUUACGGCCAAUGAAUUUUCUAUGCCUCUUUAUGUGUAUAGUAGCUAUAUUUGUAUUUAUUAUUUCAUUCUGGAUAUCUGGUGCGUAUGUGUAGUGGGAUACUUGCUGAGAUAUUGAGCUCACAUCAUUUCCUUUAAUGUAUUUUAGAGGAGCAGGACAAUUAGAGGAACGCAGGUUGCCUGCAUGAUGGAUUAGUAAAGUUUUUAGAUUUCAUUAGUUGUCUUGAAAUGUGAAACCUUAGUGAUUCAACUAAAAUUUUGUUUCAUGGUUAGAUGUGGAUUUGAUAUUGGACAUUGUACAUUUUGACUUUAUGGCUAAUAUGUUUAAUUUAUAUUAGAGGACCAAAUUGUUUUUAUAUUAGAGCCACAAUAAAUUUUACUUUUUUAAAAUAG
Molecule: long non-coding RNA, 1092 nt
Filed under: Phoenix dactylifera (date palm)
Lineage: Eukaryota; Viridiplantae; Streptophyta; Magnoliopsida; Arecales; Arecaceae
Description: long non-coding RNA (PDAC_LNC015985)
Source: RNAcentral